This 679-nucleotide ribosomal RNA is filed under the name Salmonella enterica. RNAcentral's name for it is "partial 23S ribosomal RNA". It matches the Rfam family "Bacterial large subunit ribosomal RNA", at positions 2125 to 2803 of the family's 2925-position model. Lineage: Bacteria; Pseudomonadati; Pseudomonadota; Gammaproteobacteria; Enterobacterales; Enterobacteriaceae. The record is from RNAcentral.
UGAGCCUUGAUGUGUAGGAUAGGUGGGAGGCUUUGAAGUGUGGACGCCAGUCUGCAUGGAGCCGACCUUGAAAUACCACCCUUUAAUGUUUGAUGUUCUAACGUGGACCCGUGAUCCGGGUUGCGGACAGUGUCUGGUGGGUAGUUUGACUGGGGCGGUCUCCUCCUAAAGAGUAACGGAGGAGCACGAAGGUUGGCUAAUCCUGGUCGGACAUCAGGAGGUUAGUGCAAUGGCAUAAGCCAGCUUGACUGCGAGCGUGACGGCGCGAGCAGGUGCGAAAGCAGGUCAUAGUGAUCCGGUGGUUCUGAAUGGAAGGGCCAUCGCUCAACGGAUAAAAGGUACUCCGGGGAUAACAGGCUGAUACCGCCCAAGAGUUCAUAUCGACGGCGGUGUUUGGCACCUCGAUGUCGGCUCAUCACAUCCUGGGGCUGAAGUAGGUCCCAAGGGUAUGGCUGUUCGCCAUUUAAAGUGGUACGCGAGCUGGGUUUAGAACGUCGUGAGACAGUUCGGUCCCUAUCUGCCGUGGGCGCUGGAGAACUGAGGGGGGCUGCUCCUAGUACGAGAGGACCGGAGUGGACGCAUCACUGGUGUUCGGGUUGUCAUGCCAAUGGCACUGCCCGGUAGCUAAAUGCGGAAGAGAUAAGUGCUGAAAGCAUCUAAGCACGAAACUUGCCCCGAG